Molecule: long non-coding RNA, 167 nt
Filed under: Callithrix jacchus (white-tufted-ear marmoset)
Lineage: Eukaryota; Metazoa; Chordata; Mammalia; Primates; Cebidae
Description: lncRNA (ENSCJAG00000086650.1)
Source: RNAcentral
CAGAUAAUAACUCAGCAUUUUUUUUCUUGCUCUGUCACCCAGGCUGGAGUGCAGCAGUGCAAUCUCAGUUCACUACAACCUCUGCCUCCCAGGUUCAAGAGAUCCUCCCACCUCAACCUCUUGAGUAGCUGGGACUACCAGGACUGUAUGUGCUUUCAUCUCCAUCU